GACGAACGCUGGCGGCGUGCUUAACACAUGCAAGUCGAACGGAAAGGCCCUGCUUUUGUGGGGUGCUCGAGUGGCGAACGGGUGAGUAACACGUGAGUAACCUGCCCUUGACUUUGGGAUAACUUCAGGAAACUGGGGCUAAUACCGGAUAGGAGCUCCUGCUGCAUGGUGGGGGUUGGAAAGUUUCGGCGGUUGGGGAUGGACUCGCGGCUUAUCAGCUUGUUGGUGGGGUAGUGGCUUACCAAGGCUUUGACGGGUAGCCGGCCUGAGAGGGUGACCGGCCAAAUUGGGACUGAGAUACGGCCCAGACUCCUACGGGAGGCAGCAGGGGGGAAUAUUGCACAAGGGGGGGAAGCCUGAUGCAGCAACGCCGGGUGCGGGAUGACGGCCUUCGGGUUGUAAACCGCUUUCGCCUGUGACGAAGCGGGAGGGACGGUAAUGGGUAAAGAAGCACCGGCUAACCACGG
RNAcentral lists this ribosomal RNA (467 nucleotides) under uncultured bacterium. Its description in RNAcentral is "partial 16S ribosomal RNA". It matches the Rfam family "Bacterial small subunit ribosomal RNA", at positions 28 to 506 of the family's 1533-position model. The record is from RNAcentral.